RNAcentral lists this ribosomal RNA (468 nucleotides) under uncultured bacterium. Its description in RNAcentral is "partial 16S ribosomal RNA". It matches the Rfam family "Bacterial small subunit ribosomal RNA", at positions 28 to 507 of the family's 1533-position model. The record is from RNAcentral.
GACGAACGCUGGCGGCGGGCUUAACACAUGCAAGUCGAACGGAAAGGCCCUGCUUUUGUUGGGUGCUCGAGUGGCGAACGGGUGAGUAACACGUGAGUAACCUGCCCUUGACUUUGGGAUAACUUCAGGAAACUGGGGCUAAUACCGGAUAGGAGCGCCUGCUGCAUGGGGGGGGUUGGAAAGUUUCGGCGGUUGGGGAUGGACUCGCGGCUUAUCAGCUUGUUGGUGGGGUAGUGGCUUACCAAGGCUUUGACGGGUAGCCGGCCUGAGAGGGUGACCGGCCACAUUGGGACUGAGAUACGGCCCAGACUCCUACGGGAGGCAGCAGUGGGGAAUAUUGCCCAAUGGGCGGAAGCCUGAUGCAGCAACGCCGCGUGCGGGAUGACGGCCUUCGGGUUGUAAACCGCUUUCGCCUGUGACGAAGCGUGAGUGACGGUAAUGGGUAAAGAAGCACCGGCUAACUACGUG